UAGAGGAAGUAAAAGUCGUAACAAGGUCUCCGUUGGUGAACCAGCGGAGGGAUCAUUACUGAGUUACCGCUCUAUAACCCUUUGUGAACAUACCUACAACUGUUGCUUCGGCGGGUAGGCCGUCCCCUGAAAAGGACGCCUCCCGGCCCGGACCGGACCCCCUGUGGGGCCGGACUCGGCGCCCGCCGGAGGAUAACCAAACGCUAUUUUAACGACGUUUCUUCUGAGUGGCAUAAGCAAAAUAAUCAAAACUUUUAACAACGGAUCUCUUGGUUCUGGCAUCGAUGAAGAACGCAGCGAAAUGCGAUAAGUAAUGUGAAUUGCAGAAUUCAGUGAAUCAUCGAAUCUUUGAACGCACAUUGCGCCCGCCAGCAUUCUGGCGGGCAUGCCUGUUCGAGCGUCAUUUCAACCCUCAAGCUCUGCUUGGUGUUGGGGCUCUACGGUCGACGUAGGCCCUCAAAGGUAGUGGCGGACCCUCCCGGAGCCUCCUUUGCGUAGUAACAUUUCGUCUCGCACUGGGAUCCGGAGGGACUCUUGCCGUAAAACCCCCCAAUUUUNCAAGGNUGACCUCGGAUCAGGUAGGAAUACCCGCUGAACUUAAGCAUAUCAAUAAGCGGAGGAAAAGAAACCAACAGGGAUUGCCCCAGUAACGGCGAGUGAAGCGGCAACAGCUCAAAUUUGAAAUCUGGCCCCAGGCCCGAGUUGUAAUUUGCAGAGGAUGCUUUUGGCGCGGUGCCUUCCGAGUUCCCUGGAACGGGACGCCAUAGAGGGUGAGAGCCCCGUACGGUUGGACACCAAGCCUUUGUAAAGCUCCUUCGACGAGUCGAGUAGUUUGGGAAUGCUGCUCAAAAUGGGAGGUAUAUUUCUUCUAAAGCUAAAUAUUGGCCAGAGACCGAUAGCGCACAAGUAGAGUGAUCGAAAGAUGAAAAGCACUUUGAAAAGAGGGUUAAACAGCACGUGAAAUUGUUAAAAGGGAAGCGCUUAUGACCAGACUUGCGCCCGGUGAAUCACCCAGCUCUCGCGGCUGGGGCACUUUGCCGGCUCAGGCCAGCAUCAGCUCGCUGUCGGGGACAAAAGCUUCGGGAACGUAGCUCUCUUCGGGGAGUGUUAUAGCCCGUUGCACAAUACCCUUCGGCGGGCUGAGGUACGCGCUCCGCAAGG
Molecule: ribosomal RNA, 1161 nt
Filed under: fungal endophyte
Lineage: Eukaryota; Fungi
Description: eukaryotic LSU rRNA
Rfam family: Eukaryotic large subunit ribosomal RNA (bases 565-1161)
Source: RNAcentral